Molecule: ribosomal RNA, 468 nt
Filed under: uncultured bacterium
Lineage: Bacteria
Description: partial 16S ribosomal RNA
Rfam family: Bacterial small subunit ribosomal RNA
Source: RNAcentral
GACGAACGCUGGCGGCGUGCUUAACACAUGCAAGUCGAACGGAAAGGCCCUGCUUUUGUGGGGUGCUCGAGUGGCGAACGGGUGAGUAACACGUGAGUAACCUGCCCUUGACUUUGGGAUAACUUCAGGAAACUGGGGCUAAUACCGGAUAGGAGCUCCUGCUGCAUGGUGGGGGUUGGAAAGUUUCGGCGGUUGGGGAUGGACUCGCGGCUUAUCAGCUUGUUGGUGGGGUAGUGGCUUACCAAGGCUUUGACGGGUAGCCGGCCUGAGAGGGUGACCGGCCACAAUGGGCCUGAGAUACGGCCCAGACUCCUACGUGAGGCAGCAGUGGGGAAUAUUGCACAAUGGGCGGAAGUCUGAUGCAGCAACGCCGCGUGCGGGAUGACGGCCUUCGGGUUGUAAACCGCUUUCGCCUGUGACGAAGCGUGAGUGACGGUAAUGGGUAAAGAAGCACCGGCUAACUACGUG